UGGUUGGAAAUCAUUCAUAGAGUGUAAAGGCAUAAGGGAGCUUGACUGCGAGACCUACAAGUCGAGCAGGGUCGAAAGACGGACUUAGUGAUCCGGUGGUUCCGCAUGGAAGGGCCAUCGCUCAACGGAUAAAAGCUACCCCGGGGAUAACAGGCUUAUCUCCCCCAAGAGUUCACAUCGACGGGGAGGUUUGGCACCUCGAUGUCGGCUCAUCGCAUCCUGGGGCUGUAGUCGGUCCCAAGGGUUGGGCUGUUCGCCCAUUAAAGCGGUACGCGAGCUGGGUUCAGAACGUCGUGAGACAGUUCGGUCCCUAUCCGUCGUGGGCGUAGGAAAUUUGAGAGGAGCUGUCCUUAGUACGAGAGGACCGGGAUGGACAUACCUCUGGUGUACCAGUUGUCGUGCCAACGGCAUAGCUGGGUAGCUAUGUGUGGACGGGAUAAGUGCUGAAAGCAUCUAAGCAUGAAGCCCCCCUCAAGAUGAGAUUUCCCAACUUCGGUUAUAAGAUCCCUCAAAGAUGAUGAGGUUAAUAGGUUCGAGGUGGAAGCAUGGUGACAUGUGGAGCUGACGAAUACUAAUCGAUCGAAGACUUAAUCAA
This 595-nucleotide ribosomal RNA is filed under the name Staphylococcus aureus. Its description in RNAcentral is "partial 23S ribosomal RNA". It matches the Rfam family "Bacterial large subunit ribosomal RNA", at positions 2328 to 2925 of the family's 2925-position model. The record is from RNAcentral. Lineage: Bacteria; Bacillati; Bacillota; Bacilli; Caryophanales; Staphylococcaceae.